This is a long non-coding RNA of Cyprinus carpio (common carp), 896 nucleotides long. RefSeq lists it as uncharacterized. The record is from RefSeq and is a predicted model, not a curated record. The transcript has 5 exons. NCBI's taxonomy places the organism in Eukaryota, Metazoa, Chordata, Actinopteri, Cypriniformes, Cyprinidae.
CUGUCUCUGUUGUGUGCUGUCAAGCAUAAAUUUAUUCAUUUUUUGUUCAUUCUUUCUUUUAGAUUGAUUAUUGAGCUUUAUCUCCUGAGCAAUUCUUAAGCAUUACGAGCACUACUGACUCUCCACUGCACAAUAUCCAUCCAUCUAUUCAGAGCACGACCUGCAUUUUCUCUGCAGCUGAACGCCUGGUUUUGGAUUUUCUCCAAUCAGCAGUUCUUCUGAAUUGUUCUUCCCACCUCUCCCCUCCCCAACCCUCCACCCAUAUACCCCACAUCCCCCACCCACCACCCCAAAAAAAAAAAAAAAAAAAAAAAAAAACACAUUCAUUAUAUUCAAUACUAAGUUGAUCAUUUGUGUUCAAAUACUACUGUUCUUUUAAAAGUUCAGUCCUUUUAAUACUAGGUUAAUAAUUUUGUUUAAUCUGCUAUUGUUUUUUUCUUUGGAAAAAAGUUUGUUCAUAUUAAUAUUAGAUUUAUAAUUUGUUUGAUCUGCUACUGUUCUUUUUAUUGAAAAAAGGUUAUUAGCUGUAUUUGUAAGGCAUUCUUUUUCUUGUCAAUUAACUAACUUGUUUUUUCCUUGAGAAUACUUUGCAGGUUGUACCGCUUCAGCAUUUCGUGAAGAUGCCUCGGAAAGGUAGGAGAUCACGGGCUCAAAAAGUUCGUUGGACAAAGUUAGACCUGACGGGACAGACGAGCGUCAGUAAAGGUGUUGCUCAGGUUUCUGAUGGACAGCAGUACGAAGAUGCCGACAGCACAUCUAGAAUUCUAUCCGUGCAGGCGUCUCAUUGCCAGAGUGAUGCAAGGUAUGAUGUUUUCUCACGAAAUCAUCAGUGCACAUGUGUAGCUCUGACAUUCCUUGCGUACCACAGUGAGGGAACUUUGUUCAAACAGCCUGAC